Long non-coding RNA from Poeciliopsis prolifica (blackstripe livebearer), 518 nucleotides. RefSeq lists it as uncharacterized. Lineage: Eukaryota; Metazoa; Chordata; Actinopteri; Cyprinodontiformes; Poeciliidae. The transcript has 4 exons. The record is from RefSeq and is a predicted model, not a curated record.
UCUGGGUUUCAUCUUAGUGUCAUCAGGAAAAGAUCUGGAUGUGUUUGACCUGAAGAAAUACUCUGCUUCAGAGGAGGUUCUUCUGAGGCUGCUGCCAGUGGUUAAAGCCUCCAACAAAGCUCUACUGAGUGUCUGUAACCUCUCAGAGAGAAGCUGUGAAGCUCUGUCCUCAGUUCUCAGCUCCCAGUCCUCCAGUCUCAGAGAACUGGACCUGAGUAACAACAACCUGCAGGAUUCAGGAGUGAAGCUUCUCUCUGCUGGACUGAAGAGUCCAAACUGCAACCUGGAAACUCUCAGCUUAUCAGGCUGUUUGGUCUCAGAGGAAGGCUGUGCUUCUCUGGCCUCAGCUCUGACCUCCAACCCCUCCCAUCUGAAAGAGUUGGACCUGAGCUACAAUCAUCCAGGAGACUCAGGAGUGAAGCUGCUGUCGGCUGGACUGAAGGAUCCACACUGGAGACUGGAAGCUCUCAGGGUGGAGACUGCUGGAGGCCGAUUCUUGACUCCAGGUCUGAGGAAAU